UACUGAAAGGAAAGCUGAUAAUAGGAAGGGAAAUGUUGCUAAAGUAGAUGAGUCAAGACAGAUAUCCUAAAAAAAGGGGCAUAAAACUGCAUCAUUGUCAAGACCUGUGAUUUGCAUAUGUAAUGAUCUAUAUGCACUUGCCCUGAGGCCUUUGCGUCAGGUAGCAAAGGUUCACAUUUUUGUUCAACCGACAGUGAGUCGUGUGGUAAGCAGACUCAAAUAUAUAUGUAAUAUGGAAGGCCUAAAGACAAAUUCCACGGCACUUGCUGCACUUGCAGAGUAUACUGAAUGUGACAUCCGUUCGUGCUUGAACACACUAUAGUUUCUCAACAAGAAGAAUCAAACCCUCAAUGUGUUUGAGAUCAGUUCCCAAGUGGUAGGUCAAACGGACAUGUCUAGAAGCAUCUUUGAUAUCUGGAAAGAGAUUUUUCAGAACAGAAAAAUGAAGCGAGCAAAAAGAUCUGAUAAUUGCUGCAGUGGUAUGUCCAAUGGAUUUGACUUUCUAUACCCUCUCAUAUCUAAUCGUGGUGACUAUGAUUUAAUUUUGGAUGGCAUCCAUGAAAAUAUUUUCCAGCUUCAUUAUCAUGACCCAAUAAUGCAGAAGACAUUUAUCAGCCUCUUACUGCAAUUAGUUUACAUCGUUUAAUAGCCCAAGUUCAAAAACCAAUUAUUGAAUGGCCGAAGUCUUUUAUGAGAUACCGAACGACAUUCAUGGAAAAGAGGGAUAUUUUGAGGUCUUGGCACAACAAAAUUGCACCAUAUAUUUCAAGGCAUUUGUCUAUUAAAUCUUUUGUAGAAGAUACGGUUUCUCCAUUAUUGCAUAUUCUAUCACCACCAACUCUAA
Long non-coding RNA from Vitis vinifera (wine grape), 844 nucleotides. RefSeq lists it as uncharacterized. The transcript is spliced from 10 exons. The record is from RefSeq and is a predicted model, not a curated record. Lineage: Eukaryota; Viridiplantae; Streptophyta; Magnoliopsida; Vitales; Vitaceae.